This is a long non-coding RNA of Harpegnathos saltator (Jerdon's jumping ant), 447 nucleotides long. RefSeq lists it as uncharacterized. The record is from RefSeq and is a predicted model, not a curated record. The transcript has 3 exons. NCBI's taxonomy places the organism in Eukaryota, Metazoa, Arthropoda, Insecta, Hymenoptera, Formicidae.
CAUCCAAUGAACACGACAACAGCACGACCGCCGCGGCGUGUCGCGUAGCGUAGCGUAGCGUCGUCGGGCACCCGGAUCACCAGAGCGCCGCGCGACGACGGCGACAAAGACUACAGGAACGACGACGAUAACGACAACAACGACGUCGACGGUGGCGAAGACGUCGUCGUCUCGACCGCGGCGGCGUAUCGCACAAGAUGAGACGGAUCACCUUGAAGACUUAUUUCACGGCGUGUAUCUCCUUCAAUUGUGCUGAUAGUUAGAACUUUAUCUUCACUUGCCAAGGCAAGAAGACCAUCUACUGACCAUGCACCGCACACAAUACGCUUCUUAUGCUUCCCCAAAAUAGCUCAAUCCAUCUCUGACACCUGCAUCUAUCUGGGACUUUUUUCCAGUUGUCGCAUCCCAUAGAAUUAUGCUUGACGAAUUCUGUGCUAUUAUUGCCAG